AAACUGCGAAUGGCUCAUUAUAUAAGUUAUCGUUUAUUUGAUAGUACCUUACUACUUGGAUAACCGUGGUAAUUCUAGAGCUAAUACAUGCUACAAAUCCCGACUCCGGAAGGGAUGUAUUUAUUAGAUUAAAAACCAAUGCCCUCUGGGCUCCCUGGUGAUUCAUGAUAACUCCUCGAAUCGCACGGCCUUGCGCCGGCGAUGGUUCAUUCAAAUUUCUUCCCUAUCAACUUUCGAUGUUUGGGUAUUGGCCAAACAUGGUCGCAACGGGUAACGGAGGGUUAGGGCUCGACCCCGGAGAAGGAGCCUGAGAGACGGCUACUACAUCCAAGGAAGGCAGCAGGCGCGCAAAUUACCCAAUCCCGACACGGGGAGGUAGUGACAAUAAAUACUGAUACAGGGCUUUUUUGGGUCUUGUAAUUGGAAUGAGUACAAUUUAAACCCCUUAACGAGGAACAAUUGGAGGGCAAGUCUGGUGCCAGCAGCCGCGGUAAUUCCAGCUCCAAUAGCGUAUAUUAAAGUUGUUGUGGUUAAAAAGCUCGUAGUUGAACCUUGGGCCUGGCUGGCCGGUCCGCCUCACCGCGUGCACUGGUCCGGCCGGGCCUUUCCCUCUGCGGAGCCCCAUGCCCUUCGCUGGGCGUGGCGGGGAAGCAGGACGUUUACUUUGAAAAAAUUAGAGUGCUCCAGGCAGGCCUAUGCUCGGAUACAUUAGCAUGGAAUAAUAAAAUAGGACGCGCGGUUCUAUUUUGUUGGUUUCUAGGACCGCCGUAAUGAUGAAUAGGGACAGUCGGGGGCAUCAGUAUUCAAUUGUCAGAGGUGAAAUUCUUGGAUUUAUUGAAGACUAACUACUGCGAAAGCAUUUGCCAAGGAUGUUUUCAUUAAUCAGGAACGAAAGUUAGGGGAUCGAAGACGAUCAGAUACCGUCGUAGUCUUAACCAUAAACUAUGCCGACUGGGGAUCGGACGAUGUUAUUUC
RNAcentral lists this ribosomal RNA (975 nucleotides) under Torrubiella ratticaudata. RNAcentral describes it as "SSU rRNA". It matches the Rfam family "Eukaryotic small subunit ribosomal RNA", at positions 84 to 1069 of the family's 1831-position model. Lineage: Eukaryota; Fungi; Ascomycota; Sordariomycetes; Hypocreales; Cordycipitaceae. The record is from RNAcentral.